AGGUUGGGAGAGGUUGGUGAGGUGUGGGGAUGGCUUUUGCGGUGACGCCUAAGAUAAUACCGGCUAGAUUCGAAAGGGGGAAUUAUGGAGGAGGGGAUCGGCUAAGGCUGAAGCAAGUGAAGUGUGGUAUUGACGGAGGUGUGUCGAAUUCCAACUACGUGGUGCCGCUGGACAAUUUCUCCAACUCAUCCUGCAUAACACGUCCUUUAGCCGAGAUACUCAGAGACCUCAAUAAGAGAAUCCCCGAUACUAUCGUCAACUGGGACAAUAUCACCCAGUGAUGGGCUCCAUUGGCGAUCCAGUUUCAGCUGCUGAGGAAAUUGCUUUCUGCAAAACUUGUGCCCGGUUUGGUCUUAGCUUGUAUUUGUAUCAUGAAGAUGAAAUGACCAGUUUUUAAGCUUCUAAAUUUUUGUUUUGGUUGGAUGUGAAUAGAGGUGGCUGUUAGGUACUUCUAUAAAGCACUGUCAAGUAUUGUGGAAAACUUGAAGCCAUGUCUUCUUUUUAUGAGGAUCCGAUGCUUAUGUGUAUUCAGGUUUCUUUUAUUGCUCAGGUACAUUUAUGGCUUUAAGUUUUGUAAGUUAUGGUGGCCUAAAGCCUUCCAUUAAUAAAUGAACCAUUAUUAUUAUUAUUAACGCAAU
Molecule: long non-coding RNA, 638 nt
Filed under: Glycine max (soybean)
Lineage: Eukaryota; Viridiplantae; Streptophyta; Magnoliopsida; Fabales; Fabaceae
Description: uncharacterized LOC100797217 (LOC100797217)
Source: RNAcentral